RNAcentral lists this long non-coding RNA (2917 nucleotides) under Elaeis guineensis (African oil palm). Its description in RNAcentral is "long non-coding RNA (EGUI_LNC064695)". Lineage: Eukaryota; Viridiplantae; Streptophyta; Magnoliopsida; Arecales; Arecaceae. The record is from RNAcentral.
AUCCUCAGAUCUCUAUUUUUCAAGAGUUUUGAUCCUCCCCUUGAGGUCUUUAAUCUUUCUGUCGACCCUAGACUUCUGUUGUUCGAGGGCCUCAAUCCGUCUUUCAGCCUUCUACAACUCUUCAUCCCGAUGGAGAAUCGACUCUUGGGCCUUCUAAAGAGCCUCCUUAGUAAGAUUGAGUUCCUUGGCCAGCUCAGUGUUAUCUCUCUCCAGAUACUCCAAUCGAUACUUCAGCAAGUCAAUUUCGUCUUUCUCCAUCGCCAGAGCAUCGAAGUUGGAAUUAACGAGGCUCGCUAGACAUUGAUCUAUAUGAGUAAGGGAUCUCAAGGCAUCGACAGACCGUUUCUCCCCUCUUUGUUCGUUGAGAAAUAACUUUUCGACUGACGGUAGAAGAUUCCUCAAGUAUUCUAUCGCAGAUUGAAGGAUCUCUCCUGUAGACGGAGCACGAGGCAUCAGAUUUGAAGGUCUUGCAUGAGCAGUGGAUGCAAGAAAGCACCCAGCAGGGGUCGCCAUCUCUGGAGAUCCCCUAGUCUCUAUCAUCUUGGUCAUAUCUUUCUCUGGGUUGUCGCCUGCCUCUUCCAUCCGCACUUCCUCAGAUGAAACAUUUUCAGAGCAUUCCUCGACGCUCAUCUCCGGUGCCAUCUCUAUCGGUGCCCCACCAGUCGAGACUUCCUCUGGAGAACCCUGCAUCAUAGCUUCUAAUAGUUGGGCCGUGGAUUCGAUGGUAGGAGCAGAAUGUUCUUCUUCUCUGACUGCAGGUCUUUUUACAGCAACCAGAACCACAACCUGCCUCCUACGAGCCAAAAUUUGCUCAAGUCUCUUUAUGCAUUGUGAAUCUAUCUUGCUCCAAGGAAUCGUGAUGGACAAUUGGCACAAAAAGAUCUGUGGCUACUCGUGCCUUCAAAGAGCAAAUUUAAAAGAGAAAGAAAAUGAAAGGCCACCACAAAAUGAUUAAAACCUUGAAGAGACCAUCGUUUGAGUGGUCCUAUCAGUUACGUCCAUCCGCAUUAAUCGCAUUAGGCUGAUAUCAUCCACCUUAAAUACAAUAAAAGCGGGCGUGAAGAUAGAAGCGCUUGGCAUUGGAUCCGAGAUACUUUNNNNNNNNNNNNNNNNNNNNAUAGAUAUAUCACCACACAUUCGAUACCACAAUACACAACGAUAUCUCAAAAUAAUGGAGCGCCACAAAAAAAGGAUGGAGAGGAAGCCUCAGUCCAGCUCGAAAAUACUCCUCAUAGAAGCUAAUGCGCUCUGAAGGCGGACAGCAGACUCGAUCGUCCGAUCUCGGGACUUCAAGUUGAAACGUGAGAGGUAUUUGAUAUUACUUGUGCAUCAUGAUUAUGUCCCGCUCCAUCAACUUUAAUUUGAAAUCCAAUGGUGCAAAGUCAAUCUCCAUGAUGGCCAUCUCUUUCUCAUGCAAAAAAGCCAUGAAAAGAUGAAGAAGAGAAGAACUUGUAGUGAAAAGAGAAAAUCAGAGCUUAGCAAGAUCCGCGUUUAGUUCUGUCUAAGGAUGUUAAAUAACCUCAGACCUUAAUGGAAUGUCCAAAAGCCACCUCUCAUCGAUGCAUUAAUUGCAGGGAUGUGCAUCGACAGAAGACUAGCAUACGCGCAACACAUGAAGACUACGAAUGGACAUGAUUGCUAUCGCUGAUAUCAUAGUUAAUGCCAAUGGCAGAGAAUCACACUUUGCACCACUUUCGAAGGAAUACAUGCAAACAUGCUCCAAUUUCUCCCAUGCAGAUGCAAUUCAAAUUCUAAUCUUUUUGAAAUCUGUACGACAGCCGGAGCUAGCUCAGAUUUUUGCCCUAGCUUCAGCUCGGCUCAUGCCCUGUUUGAAGUAUAGCCCAGGCUAAGAAUUCGCCUGAGCUAUAUAUUUACUCUAAUCGGGUUUUACAGUUACCUAGGACCGAGCACAUAUUAAAGACUAAAAAACUUGAUUUUUAUUCAUCAAAAGAAGAGGAAUAUAUCUGUUCCUGUUAAGACUCUAGUACAAGACCAAAGAUCUCAGAUCAUAAACAAAAAAAAAGAAAAGGGGAUGAAUCACUCCUUAGAGGGAUUACCAAGGCGGUCGUCUGCAAGAUGGUAUUCCUCAAUGCUGACAAUGUCUUCGGUCUGAAUAGCUGCAUUGAUCUUAUCUACUUCGUCUGAAAAAUAGGACAUCAUUAUAAACCUCGACCAGCUAUCCGACGACACCACUUGUGAAUCUUUGUCCAGACAAUCAACUUAAAGAUGCUUGACAAAGUCAGGAGGAAGAUGCACCUGGGCAAUGGACUUGCACUUCUUGAAGCCCAUGAAGAACGCCACUUUGCAAGCUUGGGCUAUGAUCUUAGCUCCUUCUCUCUCCAGCCGCUUUCUCCUGCUUUCAGCAUGUUUGAGUAAAAUCUUCUGAUCUAUAAUUUUUUUCCAAAGAAGCUUAUGGUUUACCUUUCUCUCUUUCAACCUUUUCUUUAGGUGCUCCACCUCUGAUCUGCUAUCUUGGACUCCUAAGAGUGGCUCCGGGGAGGUCUGAACUCCCUUGAAAGUGAAACAUCCAUCCCCUCGAGGAGCUCUCUCUCCUUGGCUCAUCCCCUUAGAGAUUUUGGCCCUCUUGGGCAGACCACCAUUGAGGCCCAUUUGAGAGUGAAUUUCAAAACUCAGAGAACUUCUUCUCACUUCAAGUAUCCUCUUCAAGUGUUCUAGGUCAUCAUGGCUCUGGUGAUAGUUUUUCUCAUCCUCAGAUCUCUAUUUUUCAAGAGUUUUGAUCCUCCCCUUGAGGUCUUUAAUCUUUCUGUCGACCCUAGACUUCUGUUGUUCGAGGGCCUCAAUCCAUCUUUCAGCCUUCUACAACUCUUCAUCCCGAUGGAGAAUCGACUCUUGGGCCUUCUAAAGAGCCUCCUCAGUAAGAUUGAGUUCCUUGGCUAGCUCAGUGUUAUCUCUCUCC